This 450-nucleotide ribosomal RNA is filed under the name uncultured bacterium. RNAcentral describes it as "bacterial SSU rRNA". It matches the Rfam family "Bacterial small subunit ribosomal RNA", at positions 30 to 517 of the family's 1533-position model. The record is from RNAcentral.
AUUGAACGCUGGCGGUAUGCUUAAGACAUGCAAGUCGAACGGUAACAGGUUAAGCUGACGAGUGGCGGACGAGUGAGUAACGCGUGGGAAUCUACCUUGUAGUGGGGGAUAAGCCAGGGAAACUUGGACUAAUACCGCAUACGCCCUAAGGGGGAAAGGCGCAAGUCGCUAUAAGAUGAGCCCGCGUCUGAUUAGGUAGUUGGUGGGGUAAAGGCCUACCAAGCCGACGAUCAGUAGCUGGUCUGAGAGGAUGAUCAGCCACGUCGGGACUGAGACACGGCCCGGACUCCUACGGGAGGCAGCAGUCGGGAAUAUUGGACAAUGGGGGAAACCCUGAUCCAGCAAUACCGCGUGUGUGAAGAAGGCCUGCGGGUUGUAAAGCACUUUCAGUUGGGAAGAUAAUGACGUUACCAACAGAAGAAGCACCGGCUAACUCCGUGCCAGCAGCCG